CUUCCUUCCUUCCUCUCUCUCUUUCUUUCUUCUUUCUUUCAAUCUUUCUUUCUUUUUUCUUUCUCUCUUUCUCUCUCUCUCUCUCUUUUGACACAGUCUCACUCCGUUGCCCAGGCUGGAGUGCAGAGACGCAAUCUCAGCUCACUGCAACCUCUGCCUCCCAGGUUCAAGCAAUUCUCCUGCCUCAGCCUCCUGAGUAGCUGGGAUUACAGGCACUCGCCACCACAUCUAGCUGAUUUUUGUUUUUUUAGUAGAGGUGGGGUUUCGCCAAGUGGCCAGGCUGGUCUCAAACUCCUGACCUCAGGUAAUCCGCCCACCUCAGCCUCCCAAAGUGCUGGGAUUACAAGCGUGAACCGCCACACCUGGCUCAUUCAUUCAUUUAUUCAUCUGUGUGAGGCAAACCACAAGUCAUCAGCGUCACAGCAAAACAAAAACAGACACACAACAGAAGAAACCACGCUGGUGAGGUCAGCAGGGUGGAAGAUAGCGGAGACUAGGCAGGGAGGCUCAGCUGCACCUGACACACAACAGAGGUUCUCCAGGAACAGCAGAUGAAUGAGUACAAAAUCAAAGAGGUGGUUUCCCUCUUCCUCCAGCAGACAAACCCAGAAUUGCAAAGAUCCCUCGAUGAACUAAUGUAACCAUAUCAGGCAAACUGCAUCCCCUUGUCUGUCUUUCGUUCUCCCCCAGGCACACUUGCCAGCUUCCUCUUUCUGCGUCCUCCUGGGCAUAUCCAGCCUUCAUCAUGAAGCCGUGUCUAUUUUCCACUUGCACACUUUCCUGGAAGACUCUUGGACAGCGUAUCAAGAUCUCUCAUUUUCUGGCUUGAACUCACUGCAGACUCAUCUUGUGGCAAGGCUCACCACCCACCAUGCCGGGCCUUGUCAGUGCCCUGGGGCAGCGUGGAUGGGCUGCCCACGCUCUCAACUAACAGACGGCAGCAAAGGCCAUCACCUCCUUCUGAAGGAAUCAGAAGUUGGAACCAGGCCAGUGUAGGGUGGGACCAGAACUGAUGCCUGGACACAUGACCAUAGACUGUCCUUGCUGUUGGAGAGCUGGGGACCGCGCCAUAGGAGGCUGUGUGUGGUUAUCGCCUGUGAGCCCCCAAGACCUUCAUUUCCUCAUCUGCCUUUACUUUGUGUCUCCUCUGAACGUGAUCCUGUGUUCUGGGUUUUUUGUUUUUUUUUUUUUGAAAUGGCAGCAUUUCAAAUAUGCUGUUUUUUACCAUCAAUCAUUUCUUGCCAGCUGGGUGCAGUGAGUGACACCUGUCAUCCCAGCCCUUUGGGAGGGCGAGGCUGGUGGAUCACAAGGUCAAGAGUUCGAGACCAGCCUGGCUAACAUGGUGAAACCCCGUCUCUACUAAAAAUACAAACAUUAGCCAGGCGUGGUGGCCUGUGCCUGUAGUUCCAGCUACUCAGGAGGCUGAGUCACACGACUUGCUUGAACCCAGGAGGUGGAGGUUGCAGUGAGCCAAGAUUGUUCCACUGCACUCCAGCCUGGGUGAUAGAAUGAGAAUCUGUCUCAAAAAAAGAAAAAGAAAAAAGAAAAAAUGUUUCUUGCCUUGGUUUGAGUUGCCAGAAGCAAACUCUCGAUCAAGGGUUCGUGUAUCUGGGAGGUGAUCCCUGGCCACGCCUGUAGGAGGGUGGGAGGGGAGGCAGGGAAGGGAAGGGCCCAUUGAGGGCAUGUGAUCCCAACCAGUGUCACUCAGGGCAUUUGGACCCAAAUCCCGCUGGGGGCCCUGGACAACAGCAUAGACACCUGCCCCAGUUACCCCAGCUCCCUUCAGUCAGUGACCGAGAGGUGUUCAGGGACAGCUGUGGCUGGGACCUGAUGAUCCACCAGCUCUGGGGCAAGGCACAGUCAGGCACAUUGAUGCCUCCUGGGCUCCAAAGGGCACCGUAGGAGGCUCAGGUGGUUGGGGGUGUUCCCAGGACAGAGGUGGGUGCUCCCGGGAGCACACAGGGGUGGGACUUUGAGAGUUAGGCCAGGAAUCUGGGCAGGGAUCCUGCACGCCAAGGUGAGAGAAGCCAGAGCAGUACCAGGACCCAAGCCUCCUCUGGUGCCAGGCCCUGGCUGCACUGCUCCUGUUCCCGCUCCUGUGCCCCUGCAAGGAGGGCAUGCUGUUCACUGCUACUUGAGGCUCAAAGAGGGUAUCUAUGACCUGUCAGUGAACGGACCAGAGUAUAGGGAAGUGGAUGGGAGAGGGGCUGGAGGGGCAGGGCAGCUGCUGAGGGGUCUUGCUUAUCAUGGUAAGUGCCACUGUGUGAUGCUGGGUCCUGGACUCUGAAAGCCAGGGGGAAACACUUGCCUGGACUUUAUCCUAUAGGUGGGCGGUAUCCACUGAGGGCUUUGUUCAGAGCAUAGAGUGAUAAAAACUGGGCUUUGGGCCAGCAGAAGGCCGUGAAUGAGGUUCCCAUCACCUGUGCCCUACCUUGCCUUGGCU
Cercocebus atys (sooty mangabey) is the source of this 2443-nucleotide long non-coding RNA. The record is from Ensembl. NCBI's taxonomy places the organism in Eukaryota, Metazoa, Chordata, Mammalia, Primates, Cercopithecidae.